GCGCGGGUAAACGGCGGGAGUAA
RNAcentral lists this non-coding RNA (23 nucleotides) under Arabidopsis thaliana (thale cress). The record is from RNAcentral. RNAcentral also lists the same sequence under 1 other name. Lineage: Eukaryota; Viridiplantae; Streptophyta; Magnoliopsida; Brassicales; Brassicaceae.